This 408-nucleotide ribosomal RNA is filed under the name uncultured bacterium. RNAcentral describes it as "partial 16S ribosomal RNA". It matches the Rfam family "Bacterial small subunit ribosomal RNA", at positions 28 to 526 of the family's 1533-position model. The record is from RNAcentral.
GACGAACGCUGGCGGCGUGCUUAACACAUGCAAGUCGAACGGAGUGGCGAACGGGUGAGUAACACGUGGGUGACCUGCCCUGCACUUCGGGAUAAGCCUGGGAAACUGGGUCUAAUACCGGAUAUGGUGGGAUGGGCCCGGGGCCUAUCAGCUUGUUGGUGGGGUAAUGGACUACCAAGGCGGGGGCGGGUAGCCGGCCUGGGAGGGUGGACGGCCACCAGGGGACUAAGACACGGAGCAGACGCCAACGUGGGGCAGCAGGGGGGAACAUUGCGCAAUGAGCGGAAGUGUAAUGCGGCGACGCUGCGUGGGGGAAGACGGCCGUCGGGGGGGGAACUCCGUUCACCUUCGACGCGGUAGAUGGAGAAGAAGCACCGGCUAACUACGUGCCAGCAGCCGCGGUAAUUC